AGAGUUUGAUCCUGGCUCAGAACGUACGCUGGCGGCACGCCUAACACAUGCAAGUCGAACGCAGUAGCAAUACUGAGUGGCGAACGGGUGAGUAUAAUGUGGGUAUCUGCCUUUUGGUUUGGAAUAACACGAGGAAACUUGUGCUAAUACCGGAUAAGCCCUUACGGGGAAAGUUUUAACGCCAAGAGAUGAGCCCACACUUGAUUAGCUUGUUGGUAAGGUAAAAGCUUACCAAGGCUACGAUCAAUAGCUGAUCUGAGAGGAUGAUCAGCCACAUUGGGACUGAGACACGGCCCAAACUCCUACGGGAGGCAGCAGUGGGGAAUCUUGCACAAUGGGGGAAACCCUGAUGCAGCGAUGCCGCGUGAGUGAAGAAGGCCUUUGGGUUGUAAAGCUCUUUCGUCGGGGAAGAAAAUGACUGUACCCGAAUAAGAAGGUCCGGCUAACUUCGUGCCAGCAGCCGCGGUAAUACGAAGGGACCUAGCGUAGUUCGGAAUUACUGGGCUUAAAGAGCUCGUAGGUGGUUAAGAAAGUUGGUGGUGAAAUCCCAAGGCUUAACCUUGGAACUGCCACCAAAACUUUUUAACUAGAGUAUGAUAGAGGUAAGCGGAAUUUCUAGUGUAGAGGUGAAAUUCGUAGAUAUUAGAAAGAACACCAAUUGCGAAGGCAGCUUUCUGGAUCAUUACUGACACUGAGGAGCGAAAGCAUGGGUAGCGAAGAGGAUUAGAUACCCUCGUAGUCCAUGCCGUAAACGAUGUGUGCUAGACGUUGGAAAUUUAUUUUUCAGUGUCGCAGCAAAAGCGUUAAGCACACCGCCUGGGGAGUACGACCGCAAGGUUAAAACUCAAAUGAAUUGACGGGGACCCGCACAAGUAGUGGAGCAUGUGGUUUAAUUCGAAGAUACGCGCAGAACCUUACCAACACUUGACAUGUUCGUCGCGACUCUAAGAGAUUAGAGUCUUCGGUUCGGCCGGACGAAACACAGGUGCUGCAUGGCUGUCGUCAGCUCGUGUCGUGAGAUGUUGGGUUAAGUCCCGCAACGAGCGCAACCCUUACUUUUAGUUGCCAUCAUUUAGUUGGGCACUCUAAAAGAACUGCCAGUGAUAAGCUGGAGGAAGGUGGGGAUGACGUCAAGUCCUCAUGGCCCUUACGUGUUGGGCUACACACGUGCUACAAUGGUACUUACAAUGAGAUGCAAAGAGGCGACUCUAAGCUAAUCCCAAAAAGGUACCUCAGUUCGGAUUGUACUCUGCAACUCGAGUACAUGAAGCUGGAAUUACUAGUAAUCGUGGAUCAGCGCGCCACGGUGAAUACGUUCCCGGGUCUUGUACACACCGCCCGUCACACCAUGGAAGUUGGUUACACCUUAAGGCAAAGCUUAAAACCUUUGACUACGGUACGAUCAGCGACUGGGGUGAAGUCGUAACAAGGUAACC
RNAcentral lists this ribosomal RNA (1436 nucleotides) under uncultured bacterium. Its description in RNAcentral is "bacterial SSU rRNA". It matches the Rfam family "Bacterial small subunit ribosomal RNA". The record is from RNAcentral.